This 250-nucleotide ribosomal RNA is filed under the name bacterium. Its description in RNAcentral is "partial 16S rRNA". It matches the Rfam family "Bacterial small subunit ribosomal RNA", at positions 29 to 284 of the family's 1533-position model. The record is from RNAcentral.
AACGAACGCUGGCGGCAGGCCUAACACAUGCAAGUCGAACGAGCAUUUUCCUUUCGGGGAAAAUGAGAGUGGCAGACGGGUGAGUAACGCGUGGGAAUCUACCCAUGAGUACGGAAUAAUUCGGGGAAACUCGGGCUAAUACCGUAUAUCCCCAUGUCUUAUGGCAUGGGAAAAGAUUUAUCGCUUAUGGAUGAGCCCGCGUUGGAUUAGUGAGUUGGUGAGGUAAGAGCUCACCAAAGCGACGAUCCAU